UACGUAGGGGGCAAGCGUUAUCCGGAAUCAUUGGGCGUAAAGGGUGCGUAGGCGGCCCUAUAGGUCAGAGGUCAAAGGCUACGGCUCAACCGUAGUAAGCCUUUGAAACUGUAGGGCUUGAGUGCAGGAGAGGAGAGUGGAAUUCCUAGUGUAGCGGUGAAAUGCGUAGAUAUUAGGAGGAACACCAGUGGCGAAGGCGACUCUCUGGACUGCAACUGACGCUGAGGCACGAAAGCGUGGGGAGCGAACAGG
Molecule: ribosomal RNA, 252 nt
Filed under: uncultured bacterium
Lineage: Bacteria
Description: partial 16S ribosomal RNA
Rfam family: Bacterial small subunit ribosomal RNA
Source: RNAcentral